CUGGAACUGCCAUCAAAACUUUUUAGCCAGAGUAUGAUAGAGGAAAGCAGAAUUUCUAGUGUAGAGGUGAAAUUCGUAGAUAUUAGAAAGAAUACCAAUUGCGAAGGCAGCUUUCUGGAUCAUUACUGACACUGAGGAACGAAAGCAUGGGUAGCGAAAGAGGAUUAGAUACCCUCGUAGUCCAUGCCGUAAACGAUGUGUGUUAGACGUUGGAAAUUUAUUUUCUGUGUCGCAGCGAAAGCAAUAAACACACCGCCUGGGGAGUACGAUCGCAAGGUUAAAACUCAAAUGAAUUGACGGGGACCCGCACAAGUAGUGGAGCAUGUGGUUUAAUUCGAAGAUACGCGCAGAACCUUACCAACACUUGACAUGUUCGUCGCGACUUUAAGAGAUUAAAGUUUUCGGUUCGGCCGGACGAAACACAGGUGCUGCAUGGCUGUCGUCAGCUCGUGUCGUGAGAUGUUGGGUUAAGUCCCGCAACGAGCGCAACCCUCACUUUUAGUUGCCAUCAUUUAGUUGGGCACUCUGAAAGAACUGCCAGUGAUAAGCUGGAGGAAGGUGGGGAUGACGUCAAGUCCUCAUGGCCCUUACGUGUUGGGCUACACACGUGCUACAAUGGCAUUUACAAUAGGAAGCAAGACGGCGACGUUAAGCAAAUCCUAAAAAAAUGCCUCAGUUCGGAUUGUACUCUACAACUCGAGUACAUGAAGCUGGAAUUACUAGUAAUCGCGGAUCAGCGCGCCGCGGUGAAUACGUUCCCGGGUCUUGUACACACCGCCCGUCACACCAUGGGAGUUGGUUCUACCUUAAGGCAAAGCCUAAAAACAUUGACCACGGUAUAGUCAGCGACUGGGGUGAAGUCGUAACAAGGUAACCGUA
This 879-nucleotide ribosomal RNA is filed under the name uncultured bacterium. RNAcentral describes it as "bacterial SSU rRNA". It matches the Rfam family "Bacterial small subunit ribosomal RNA", at positions 615 to 1504 of the family's 1533-position model. The record is from RNAcentral.